UUAAAUUAAAAAAGAAGGAUUUUUUUUAUAACAUUGAUUGAAUGAAAAUUCUUGUUUUUUAUUAGCAAUAGUUGAUAUACAUAUACUAUACUUUUCAAAUUGCAGAAACAUAAGAACUUUAGGGCAUACAAAAAAAUGGGUGUAAACAUUAUGACCUACUUGGUCAAGUUUUUAGCAAAUCUAUUGCUACUGGGCAUCUUCACCAUACUUCUAUACAAUUACCUCCUACCUCAGAUGAAGAGCGUCAAACUGAGGAAGAAUUUCUAAAUAGAGGCAACCAUGUAUCUAAUGGUGAAGAAUCUAGCAUUGGAAACUCAAAAGGGAAGCGAUCUGCUGAUGAUUGUAAUAAUCGUAAUAGAAAUUAGAAUAUUUUAUGAUCUAAUCAAACUGAUGAUGAAUUUUUCUUUCUAUUUUGUUUCACUUUUCUUACUACAAUUUGAAGUUAUAUUUAUUUAUAGUUUUUUUCUAAAUUGUAUUUUGUCAUGUAACAUGAGUUAAAUUUAUCUAUUUAAAAGAAUAAUCAAAAUAAAUUGUUACUUUGAAAUUGCAUUAGGUAAUUAAUAAGUGAUAAUAAAA
Molecule: unclassified non-coding RNA, 576 nt
Filed under: Hevea brasiliensis (rubber tree)
Lineage: Eukaryota; Viridiplantae; Streptophyta; Magnoliopsida; Malpighiales; Euphorbiaceae
Source: RNAcentral